RNAcentral lists this transfer RNA (73 nucleotides) under Stegodyphus mimosarum. RNAcentral's name for it is "tRNA-Thr for anticodon CGU". It matches the Rfam family "tRNA". Rfam says of the family: Transfer RNA (tRNA) molecules are approximately 80 nucleotides in length. Their secondary structure includes four short double-helical elements and three loops (D, anti-codon, and T loops). Further hydrogen bonds mediate the characteristic L-shaped molecular structure. tRNAs have two regions of fundamental functional importance: the anti-codon, which is responsible for specific mRNA codon recognition, and the 3' end, to which the tRNAs corresponding amino acid is attached (by aminoacyl-tRNA synthetases). tRNAs cope with the degeneracy of the genetic code in two manners: having more than one tRNA (with a specific anti-codon) for a particular amino acid; and 'wobble' base-pairing, i.e. permitting non-standard base-pairing at the 3rd anti-codon position. Lineage: Eukaryota; Metazoa; Arthropoda; Arachnida; Araneae; Eresidae. The record is from Rfam by way of RNAcentral.
GCCUUUGUGGUGUAGUGGUCAGCACGCUCGACGCGUAUUCGAGAGGUCCGUGGUUCGAGUCCCAGCGAAGGCG